This 42-nucleotide ribosomal RNA is filed under the name Candida albicans. RNAcentral describes it as "partial 28S ribosomal RNA". The record is from RNAcentral. Lineage: Eukaryota; Fungi; Ascomycota; Pichiomycetes; Serinales; Debaryomycetaceae.
UUUGACCUCAAAUCAGGUAGGACUACCCGCUGAACUUAAGCA